Non-coding RNA from Klebsiella pneumoniae subsp. pneumoniae MGH 78578, 2902 nucleotides. The record is from Rfam. Lineage: Bacteria; Pseudomonadati; Pseudomonadota; Gammaproteobacteria; Enterobacterales; Enterobacteriaceae.
GGUUAAGCGACUAAGCGUACACGGUGGAUGCCCUGGCAGUCAGAGGCGAUGAAGGACGUGCUAAUCUGCGAAAAGCGUCGGUAAGGUGAUAUGAACCGUUAUAGCCGGCGAUGUCCGAAUGGGGAAACCCAGUGCAAUUCGUUGCACUAUCGUUAACUGAAUACAUAGGUUAACGAGGCGAACCGGGGGAACUGAAACAUCUAAGUACCCCGAGGAAAAGAAAUCAACCGAGAUUCCCCCAGUAGCGGCGAGCGAACGGGGAGCAGCCCAGAGUCUGAAUCAGCUUGUGUGUUAGUGGAACGGUCUGGAAAGUCCGACGGUACAGGGUGAUAGUCCCGUACACCAAAAUGCACAGGUUGUGAACUCGAAGAGUAGGGCGGGACACGUGGUAUCCUGUCUGAAUAUGGGGGGACCAUCCUCCAAGGCUAAAUACUCCUGACUGACCGAUAGUGAACCAGUACCGUGAGGGAAAGGCGAAAAGAACCCCGGCGAGGGGAGUGAAAAAGAACCUGAAACCGUGUACGUACAAGCAGUGGGAGCACCUUCGGGUGUGACUGCGUACCUUUUGUAUAAUGGGUCAGCGACUUAUAUUCUGUAGCAAGGUUAACCGUAUAGGGGAGCCGCAGGGAAACCGAGUCUUAACUGGGCGUUAAGUUGCAGGGUAUAGACCCGAAACCCGGUGAUCUAGCCAUGGGCAGGUUGAAGGUUGGGUAACACUAACUGGAGGACCGAACCGACUAAUGUUGAAAAAUUAGCGGAUGACUUGUGGCUGGGGGUGAAAGGCCAAUCAAACCGGGAGAUAGCUGGUUCUCCCCGAAAGCUAUUUAGGUAGCGCCUCGUGAACUCAUCUUCGGGGGUAGAGCACUGUUUCGGCUAGGGGGUCAUCCCGACUUACCAACCCGAUGCAAACUACGAAUACCGAAGAAUGUUAUCACGGGAGACACACGGCGGGUGCUAACGUCCGUCGUGAAGAGGGAAACAACCCAGACCGCCAGCUAAGGUCCCAAAGUCAUGGUUAAGUGGGAAACGAUGUGGGAAGGCACAGACAGCCAGGAUGUUGGCUUAGAAGCAGCCAUCAUUUAAAGAAAGCGUAAUAGCUCACUGGUCGAGUCGGCCUGCGCGGAAGAUGUAACGGGGCUAAACCAUGCACCGAAGCUGCGGCAGCGACACUAUGUGUUGUUGGGUAGGGGAGCGUUCUGUAAGCCUGCGAAGGUGACCUGUGAGGGUUGCUGGAGGUAUCAGAAGUGCGAAUGCUGACAUAAGUAACGAUAAAGCGGGUGAAAAGCCCGCUCGCCGGAAGACCAAGGGUUCCUGUCCAACGUUAAUCGGGGCAGGGUGAGUCGACCCCUAAGGCGAGGCCGAAAGGCGUAGUCGAUGGGAAACAGGUUAAUAUUCCUGUACUUGGUGUUACUGCGAAGGGGGGACGGAGAAGGCUAUGUUAGCCGGGCGACGGUUGUCCCGGUUUAAGCAUGUAGGCUGAUUGUCCAGGCAAAUCCGGAUAAUCAAGGCUGAGGUGUGAUGACGAGGCACUACGGUGCUGAAGUAACAAAUGCCCUGCUUCCAGGAAAAGCCUCUAAGCAUCAGGUAACAUUAAAUCGUACCCCAAACCGACACAGGUGGUCAGGUAGAGAAUACCAAGGCGCUUGAGAGAACUCGGGUGAAGGAACUAGGCAAAAUGGUGCCGUAACUUCGGGAGAAGGCACGCUGGUGUGUAGGUGAAGCCCCUGCGGGUGGAGCUGAGACCAGUCGAAGAUACCAGCUGGCUGCAACUGUUUAUUAAAAACACAGCACUGUGCAAACACGAAAGUGGACGUAUACGGUGUGACGCCUGCCCGGUGCCGGAAGGUUAAUUGAUGGGGUUAUCCGUAAGGAGAAGCUCUUGAUCGAAGCCCCGGUAAACGGCGGCCGUAACUAUAACGGUCCUAAGGUAGCGAAAUUCCUUGUCGGGUAAGUUCCGACCUGCACGAAUGGCGUAAUGAUGGCCAGGCUGUCUCCACCCGAGACUCAGUGAAAUUGAACUCGCUGUGAAGAUGCAGUGUACCCGCGGCAAGACGGAAAGACCCCGUGAACCUUUACUAUAGCUUGACACUGAACAUUGAGCCUUGAUGUGUAGGAUAGGUGGGAGGCUUUGAAGCGUGGACGCCAGUCUGCGUGGAGCCAACCUUGAAAUACCACCCUUUAAUGUUUGAUGUUCUAACGUUGGCCCCUUACCGGGGUUGCGGACAGUGUCUGGUGGGUAGUUUGACUGGGGCGGUCUCCUCCCAAAGCGUAACGGAGGAGCACGAAGGUUAGCUAAUCCUGGUCGGACAUCAGGAGGUUAGUGCAAUGGCAUAAGCUAGCUUGACUGCGAGCGUGACGGCGCGAGCAGGUGCGAAAGCAGGUCAUAGUGAUCCGGUGGUUCUGAAUGGAAGGGCCAUCGCUCAACGGAUAAAAGGUACUCCGGGGAUAACAGGCUGAUACCGCCCAAGAGUUCAUAUCGACGGCGGUGUUUGGCACCUCGAUGUCGGCUCAUCACAUCCUGGGGCUGAAGUAGGUCCCAAGGGUAUGGCUGUUCGCCAUUUAAAGUGGUACGCGAGCUGGGUUUAGAACGUCGUGAGACAGUUCGGUCCCUAUCUGCCGUGGGCGCUGGAGAAUUGAGGGGGGCUGCUCCUAGUACGAGAGGACCGGAGUGGACGCAUCACUGGUGUUCGGGUUGUCAUGCCAAUGGCACUGCCCGGUAGCUAAAUGCGGAAGAGAUAAGUGCUGAAAGCAUCUAAGCACGAAACUUGCCCCGAGAUGAGUUCUCCCUGAGACUUUAAGUCUCCUGAAGGAACGUUAAAGACGAUGACGUUGAUAGGCCGGGUGUGUAAGCGCAGCGAUGCGUUGAGCUAACCGGUACUAAUGAACCGUGAGGCUUAACCUU